UACGUAGGUGGCAAGCGUUGUCCGGAUUUACUGGGCGUAAAGAGCGCGCAGGCGGUCGUUCAAGUCGCGUGUGAAAGCCCCCGGCUCAACUGGGGAGGGUCACGCGAUACUGAUCGACUGGAAGGCAGGAGAGGGUAGUGGAAUUCCCGGUGUAGUGGUGAAAUGCGUAGAUAUCGGGAGGAACACCAGUGGCGAAGGCGACUACCUGGCCUGUUCUUGACGCUGAGGCGCGACAGCGUGGGGAGCAAACAGG
Molecule: ribosomal RNA, 253 nt
Filed under: uncultured bacterium
Lineage: Bacteria
Description: partial 16S ribosomal RNA
Rfam family: Bacterial small subunit ribosomal RNA
Source: RNAcentral